AUAAUGACGGUACCUGCAGAAGAACCGCCGGCUAACUUCGUGCCAGCAGCCGCGGUAAUACGUGGGGGGCAAGCGUUGUUCGGAAUUACUGGGCGUAAAGGGUGCGUAGGCGGUUUUUAAAGUGUGGUGUGAAAUCUCUCGGCUCAACUGGUGAGGGUGCGCCUAAUACUGGGGGGCUUGAGUGUGGGAGAGGAGAGUGGAAUUCCGGGUGUAGCGGUGAAAUGCAUAGAUAUCAGGAGGAACACCUGUGGUGUAAGCGGCUUUCUGGACCAUUACUGACGCUGAGGCACGAAAGCGUGGGGAGCAAACAGGAUUAGAUACCCUGGUAGUCC
This 332-nucleotide ribosomal RNA is filed under the name uncultured bacterium. RNAcentral's name for it is "bacterial SSU rRNA". It matches the Rfam family "Bacterial small subunit ribosomal RNA", at positions 466 to 796 of the family's 1533-position model. The record is from RNAcentral.